GCCGCCCGCUCGCAGGUCCCGAGGAGCGCAGGUGAGGCGGCGCCCCACUCCCGGCGGCCCCCGGGCCUCCUUCCGCACGCGCCCCGAGCUGCCUCCGCACAGUUGGAGGAGCGUAGGAGGGACCCCCACCCAGGGAUGAGACUGCAGGAAGGGGACUGCGGAGGAAGCCAGACUGUGUCCCUGACAAUGGGAACAGCCGACAGUGAUGAGAUGGCCCCGGAGGCCCCACAGCGCACCCACAUCGAUGUGCACAUCCACCAGGAGUCUGCCCUGGCCAAGCUCCUGCUGACCUGCUGCUCUGCGCUGCGGCCCCGGGCCACCCAGGCCAGGGGCAGCAGCCGGCUGCUGGUGGCCUCAUGGGUGAGUGUGACGGCCUGCCUCGUGGGGCGGCGGGAGGGACUCCCCACCUCCGGCCGCAGCAGCACUCUCUGCCAGCCUCCCUCUGAACAGGACACCGAGCCAGUUAUGUCUUCUUACUUAGUGAUGUGAUUCUCUGGCCUUCUCAGUAAGAGCCUGGGGAGGGGAGGCUCUGGGCUGAAGGGGUGUGGAGGAGCCAUUGACCAUGCAGAGUCCCAAUCAGUGGAGCCCUGAGUCCAUCCUUUCCUCUGGGCCAAACUCAGGAUGGGCCGGCUCUCCUCUCCUUCCUUUCCCUUCUCUUUUCUCCUCCUCCUCCCUCUUCUUCUUUCUCUUCCUCCUCCUCUUCCUUCUCCUUUCUCUUCUCUUCUCUUCUUUCUUUCUCUCUCUCUACCUCUCCCUCUCUUUUUGGGGUUUUAGCAGUUAAUCCCUGCAGUGGCAGGUCCACCUAGGAGCCGGGAUCUUGGGUCCUUUGUCUUUCAGGUGAUGCAGAUCGUGCUGGGGAUCUUGAGUGCAGUCCUGGGAGGAUUUUUCUACAUCUGCGACUACACCCUCCUG
This 912-nucleotide small RNA is filed under the name Pongo abelii (Sumatran orangutan). RNAcentral describes it as "retained intron". The record is from RNAcentral. Lineage: Eukaryota; Metazoa; Chordata; Mammalia; Primates; Hominidae.